Molecule: ribosomal RNA, 484 nt
Filed under: uncultured bacterium
Lineage: Bacteria
Description: partial 16S ribosomal RNA
Rfam family: Bacterial small subunit ribosomal RNA
Source: RNAcentral
AUUGAACGCUGGCGGCAGGCCUAACACAUGCAAGUCGAGCGGAUGAAGGGAGCUUGCUCCUGGAUUCAGCGGCGGACGGGCGAGUAAUGCCUAGGAAUCUGCCUGGUAGUUGGGGAUAACGUCCGGAAACGGGCGCUAAUACCGCAUACGUCCUGAGGGUGAACGUGGGGGAUCUUUGGACCUCACGCUAUCAGAUGAGCCUAGGUCGGAUUAGCUAGUUGGUGGGGUAAAGGCUUACCAAGGCGACGAUCCGUAACUGGUCUGAGAGGAUGAUCAGUCACACUGGAACUGAGACACGGUCCAGACUCCUACGGGAGGCAGCAGUGGGGAAUAUUGGACAAUGGGCGAAAGCCUGAUCCAGCCAUGCCGCGUGUGUGAAGAAGGUCUUCGGAUUGUAAAGCACUUUAAGUUGGGAGGAAGGGCAGUAAGUUAAUACCUUGCUGUUUUGACGUUACCAACAGAAUAAGCACCGGCUAACUUCGUG